RNAcentral lists this ribosomal RNA (493 nucleotides) under uncultured bacterium. Its description in RNAcentral is "bacterial SSU rRNA". It matches the Rfam family "Bacterial small subunit ribosomal RNA", at positions 9 to 518 of the family's 1533-position model. The record is from RNAcentral.
AGAGUUGAUCCUGGCUAGGACGAACGCUGGCGGCGUGCCUAACACAUGCAAGUCGAGCGAGGAGAGUUCCUUCGGGAUGAUCCUAGCGGCGGACGGGUGAGUAACACGUGGGCAACCUGCCUCAUAGAGAGGAAUAGCCUUCCGAAAGGGAGAUUAAUACCUCAUAACAUUGCAGUUUCGCAUGAAACAGCAAUUAAAGGAGCAAUCCGCUAUGAGAUGGGCCCGCGGCGCAUUAGCUAGUUGGUGAGGUAACGGCUCACCAAGGCGACGAUGCGUAGCCGACCUGAGAGGGUGAUCGGCCACAUUGGGACUGAGACACGGCCCAGACUCCUACGGGAGGCAGCAGUGGGGAAUAUUGCACAAUGGGGGAAACCCUGAUGCCAGCAACGCCGCGUGAGUGAUGACGGCCUUCGGGUUGUAAAGCUCUGUCUUCAGGGACGAUAAUGACGGUACCUGAGGAGGAAGCCACGGCUAACUACGUGCCAGCCGCCGC